UGAGGAAUAUUGGACAAUGGAUGGAAAUCUGAUCCAGCCAUGCCGCGUGCAGGAAGACGGCCCUAUGGGUUGUAAACUGCUUUUGUAUGGGAGCAAUAAGGACUACGUGUAGUUUGAGGAGAGUACCAUACGAAUAAGCAUCGGCUAACUCCGUGCCAGCAGCCGCGGUAAUACGGAGGAUGCGAGCGUUAUCCGGAAUCAGUGGGAUUAAAGGGUACGUAGGCGGCGAUAUAAGUCAGUGGUGAAAUAUUUCGGCUUAACCGAGAGAUUGCAAUUGAUACUGUGUUGCUAGAAUAUGGUUGCUGUGAGUGGAAUGUGUGGUGUAGCGGUGAAAUGCUUAGAUAUCACACAGAAUAUCGAUUGCGAAGGCAGCUCACAAAGCCAUUAUUGACGCUGAGGCACGAAAGUGUGGGGAUCAAACA
RNAcentral lists this ribosomal RNA (422 nucleotides) under uncultured bacterium. RNAcentral's name for it is "bacterial SSU rRNA". It matches the Rfam family "Bacterial small subunit ribosomal RNA", at positions 355 to 774 of the family's 1533-position model. The record is from RNAcentral.